CCUACGGGUGGCAGCAGUGAGGAAUAUUGCUCAAUGGACGAGAGUCUGAACCAGCCAAGCAGCGUGAAGGAUGAAUGUUCUAUGGGUUGUAAACUUUUUUUAUAUGGGAAUAAAAUGUUCCAUGUGUGGGAUUUUGUAUGUACCAUAUGAAUAAGGCACGGCUAAUUCUGUGCAAGCAGCCGCGGUAAUACGGAGGAUCCGAGCGUUAUGCGGAUUUAUUGGGUGUAAAGGGAGCGUAGGUGGAUUGUUAAGUCAGUUGUGAAAGCUUGCGGCUCAACCGUAAAAUUGCAGUUGAAACUGGCAGUCUUGAGUACAGUAGAGGUAGGCGGAAUUCGUGGUGUAGCGGUGAAAUGCUUAGAUAUCACGAAGAACUCCGAUUGCGAAGGCAGCUCACUGGACUGCAACUGACACUGAGGCUCGAAAGUGUGGGUAGCAAACAGGAUUAGAUACCCUUGUAGUC
RNAcentral lists this ribosomal RNA (460 nucleotides) under uncultured bacterium. Its description in RNAcentral is "partial 16S ribosomal RNA". It matches the Rfam family "Bacterial small subunit ribosomal RNA", at positions 338 to 795 of the family's 1533-position model. The record is from RNAcentral.